UACGGGGGGGGCAAGCGUUGUUCGGAAUUACUGGGCGUAAAGGGCUCGUAGGUGGCCAACUAAGUCGGACGUGAAAUCCCUCAGCUUAACUGGGGAACUGCGUCCGAUACUGGAUGGCUUGAGUUUGGGAGAGGGAUGCGGAAUUCCAGGUGUAGCGGUGAAAUGCGUAGAUAUCUGGAGGAACACCGGUGGCGAAGGCGGCAUCCUGGACCAACACUGACACUGAGACGCGAAAGCUAGGGGAGCGAACAGG
Molecule: ribosomal RNA, 253 nt
Filed under: uncultured bacterium
Lineage: Bacteria
Description: partial 16S ribosomal RNA
Rfam family: Bacterial small subunit ribosomal RNA
Source: RNAcentral